This 378-nucleotide ribosomal RNA is filed under the name uncultured bacterium. RNAcentral's name for it is "bacterial SSU rRNA". It matches the Rfam family "Bacterial small subunit ribosomal RNA", at positions 28 to 410 of the family's 1533-position model. The record is from RNAcentral.
GACGAACGCUGGCGGCGUGCUUAACACAUGCAAGUCGAGCGCGAAAGGGGGGCAACCCCGAGUAGAGCGGCGGACGGGUGAGUAACGCAUCGGAACGUGCCCAGUAGUGGGGGACAACCUCGAGAAAUCGAGGCUAAUACCGCAUACGACCCACGGGUGAAAGCGGGGGACCGCAAGGCCUCGCGCUAUUGGAGCGGCCGAUGUCCGAUUAGCUAGUUGGCGGGGUAAGAGCCCACCAAGGCGACGAUCGGUAGCUGGUCUGAGAGGACGACCAACCACACUGGGACUGAGACACGGCCCAGACUCCUACGGGAGGCAGCAGUGGGGAAUUUUGGACAAUGGGGGCAACCCUGAUCCAGCCAUGCCGCGUGCGGGAAG